Molecule: ribosomal RNA, 431 nt
Filed under: uncultured bacterium
Lineage: Bacteria
Description: partial 16S ribosomal RNA
Rfam family: Bacterial small subunit ribosomal RNA
Source: RNAcentral
CGACCGCUGGCGGCAUGCCUAACACAUGCAAGUCGACCGAGACCUUCGGGUCUAGUGGCGCACGGGUGCGUACCGCGUGGGAACCUGCCCUUAGGUUCGGAAUAACUCCCCGAAAGGGGUGCUAAUACCGGAUAAUGUCUUCGGACCAAAGAUUUAUCGCCUUUGGAUGGGCCCGCGUUGGAUUAGCUAGUUGGUAGGGUAAAAGCCUACCAAGGCGACGAUCCAUAGCUGGUCUGAGAGGAUGAUCAGCCACACUGGGACUGAGACACGGCCCAGACUCCUACGGGAGGCAGCAGUGGGGAAUAUUGGACAAUGGGCGAAAGCCUGAUCCAGCAAUGCCGCGUGAGUGAUGAAGGCCUUAGGGUUGUAAAGCUCUUUUACCCGGGAUGAUAAUGACAGUACCGGGAGAAUAAGCUCCGGCUAACUCCGUG